CACUUGUUGGCAAGGACAACCAAGCCUGUCUGAUUGUCUUCGAAGAAUGUUUGUCCCAAAACAUAACUUUCCACUUUUCACAACAAGUAAGUCUACAACUGAUCAGCUCUGGAGACCUUUUCAUCUUCUUUGCAGCCACCAUCUUCCUGCCUGAAGUGCAGGACAGCCGUCAACCAAGAGCAGCCGCCAGCCAGGUGACCGGGAGUAAGACUGAGUUCUUAUGACUGGUAUGGAAACGAUCGUAUUACUCUCAUUUCCAAAGCUAACGAUGCCAGUCUUCUCAGCAAAAAGACUGAUUAAAAGUCCCUAAACACCAUGCUGUGUGAAAUACUGACAGUUUCAAGUGCUUAGUGAGUUCUGACCUAAGUUAUAGAUAAUCUCACCUUUUAUUUUCUAAAGUCUCAGUCUUACAGCUUUCUUGUUAUAAAGUUAGCUCAUGCUCUCUUUCAUUCUCUCUCUCAGUCUCUCUCUCUCCCCCCUUCCACCUUCCUCCUUCCCCUUCUCCUUCCUUUCCUCUUCCCCUCCCUGCCCUGUGACCUGACUGGCCUUGAAUUCCCUGUCUCACUUCCCAGGUGCUGGAAUUAGAGCCAUGCAGCACUGCCUGGCUUAUGACCCUCUGAGGACAGAACCCAGGGCUUCCUUCAUGACAAGCAUGCAGGCCCUUUACCAACUGAGUUACACCCGUGUAGUUCUUUUCUUUAACUGUUACAUUCUUCUUUAUUCAGAAACAUGGUCAUACAUCACAUGAUGGCAUUUCAAGUCCACGGAUGGAACCCAGACAGUAGAGGUCCUAUACAAAUAUGCAGCCAGUGGCACUAGCUUAAGUUCAUUCUAUAAGGUUCACGCUACUGAAGACAAGCUUACCUGUGAUGCUUUUCUCAGAAUAUAUCCCCACUGACAGGUAGUAUGUGACUUGCAGCUCCACAUUUCAAGUGAACGUAAGCGCAUGCACUGUUUAUGCUGAGGACCUGCCAGCACCUCCACCAGAUGGCUCACAACUGCCUGGGACUCCUCCAAUUCCAGGGGAUCAUCUAAUGGCCCCCAUGCUGGUCUCCAUGGACACCACACUUCUGUGCACAUAUCCAUACACAGAUACACACACAAAUACACACACAUACACAUAUGCCACACUUGCACCUGUGAAGGCCAGAAGACAGCAUUGCAUCCCUGGAGCUGGAGUGACAGGAGUCUGAGCCCCUAGCAUGAGCUGGCAGCAAGCUCUAAACCAAUGUGCCCUCUCUCCAGCUCCCCAUUCUGUCAACUUCCUCAAGCAACCCACAAACUACUGAAAGGUUCCCUAACAGCUAAAGGAUAUGUGGAUCUAUUCUGGUCUCUGAGGAAUUUCUCUACAACAAACUCAUUGCUUCAGGCACAAGUCCAUUCUGCACUCAGUUGCUUUUAGUAAGUUUUUACUUAUAAUGAAAUGACUCAAACCUGUAGUAACUUCACCAAUUCGCUGACUCUGCUGCUAGCAGGAUGUGGGUUAUACGUAACACCUCCCCCGUGCACGUCCUUCAAUCUGCUCACAGCAUCCAUCCUUCUCAUUUCUCUUCUCAGGCACGGAUGUCACACACCUACACCCCGCCUCACCCGAGUACUCUACAUUCCUCACUCCCUGUUAACACCACUCUAAAAAUGGGGUGGCAACUACCUCUGACUCUGCUCAUCAAAAGCACAUACUCCUCACACUGACGGCUUUUUUUCUGGAAGUAGAAUAAACUCGUUACAAACACAGUAGUGAAAUAGUAAGCACAAGGCUGAGGCUGUCAGAACAAGUCACCUUCCCUACAGAUGUUCCGGGGUCAUUACAGGUCAUCUAAGCAUCGCCUCUGUCCUAACUGCCAGCGCGACAGCCACCUCUCUCCUGUACAAAUGCACGCUGACCAUUAUGACUAUCUGGGAUUGGAGGAAGCUUUGGUUCUCCAAGGCCUGCGAGUUCUCCCGGGUCACUGGAACUGAACUGGUCCAGCUGCCCCAAGAGUGCUCACUGCCAAGUGUCCCCACUGUUUCACAGGGUGACAGGAGAAGACAGAGUAGGAAGGGAAACCUUCUUGCCUAAGUACAACUGUGAGCAAAUGGGCAUACUACAGGUGUACGCUUUACAGCUGGACUCGAACUGCCCAGACUGAGUGGACUGAGACUCCGGAGCCAACGGUGAGUCUGAAAGUGACUCACAGGAAGUGCCAACAAAGUCACAGAAGAGUAAGAGCCCUGUCAUGGGCUCAAUACUGGCCUCCAAAUCCAGGCCCACCUAACCUUGAUUGGGAGAAGUAUUUACCUACAGGGUUUGAAAUGAAAUCACCCAGACUCCACUGACCUCACAGAGGAAAGGAGGCGGAGCAGGAAACAUAACUAGAGUAUCUGCCAGGUCUGUGCAAGACCUAGAGAGGACAAGGAGGCUCCCUGAGCCUUCAGAAGAGCCUGGCUUCUGGACUCCAAGCCGUUUGAUAAAGUCCUGUUUCUGGUGCUUUGCCAAAGCAGCCACAGCAGAUGCCCGCAUCUCAGUACCAAGAAGUAGAGUGCAGCUGCAGACAGCCUAAGAGAUGGAAGACGGAUGCUAAAGAAAAUCUUAGGAGCUUGAUUGAAGUAAAGGAAGUCAGCCAAGGAGACAGGGCUGUCUUCCCCACAGCCUUGCUGGUACCGUUAGACCUGACUUCUAGUCUUCAGAACUGACUUCAUUCCCACUAGAGGUCUGUCAUGGUGACCCUCCUCUAACAGAACCAACAGGGCAGCAACUACUGAUGACCAGCACUGCCAGGUCAGGAGCACUUGACCUACAGUCUCACCAUCUUGAUUCCUUCCUGGUCUACCACAGGUCAUGUGAUCUUGGGAAAGAACCGGCCCCCCUCUGCCUUCCCCACAGAGAACACUGACAGUCCUUGGAACAAUGUACUUCGGUAGGGUUACAGUGUGUAAGGGGUGGGAGGUGGGGCAGAGAUGGCUCAGAAGUUAACAGCCCAUUCUGUCCUAGCAGAGAUCUGAGCUUGUUUCCCAGCACCCACGGUAGAUGGAUCACAACUGUCUAUAAAUCUAGCUCCAGGCAUUCAGACACCUCCGGCUUCCAUGGGUGCCUGCAGGCAGGCAGGCAAGCAGGCAGGCAGGCAGGCAGGCAGGCAGGCAGGCAGGCAGACAACACACACACACACACCCCCACUUAAAAAAUAAAGGGCUGGAGAGAUGGUUCAGUGGUUAAGAGCACUGACUGUUUUUGCAGAGGACCCCAGUUUCAUCUCUAGAACACUCACGGUAGCUCAUAGCCACCUGCAAUUCCAGUACUAGGGGAUCCAACAUCCUCGUCAAACCUCCAAAGGUAUCAAGCACACACAAAGUACACUCACAAAUACAGGGAAAACACCCACACACAUAAAACAAUUAAAUCCUUUAAAAAAAAAUGCACAUACUACCAACCAAUGAGUACACAUGCCUAUGAAUUUCAUGAAGUCACUGUUUUUUAUAGCUGAGUAGCACUCCAUUGUAUAAAUGUACCAUUUUCUGUAUCCAUUCCUCUAUUGAAGGGCAUCUGGGUUCUUUCUAGCUUCCAGCUAUCAUAAAUAAGGCUGCUAUGAACAUAGUGGAGCAUCUUUUGGGUAUAGAAUCGUGCCCACAUCUGGCAGGUCCACAUCUGCACUUUGCCAGUCUAUAAGCAGGGCCGUGCCUGUGCUCAUCUACAUCAUCCACAGGGCCUGAGGGUCGGCCUUCAGCACCACAACUGUGCUGUUUUUACAGAUGGGGCAGAUUUCCUAAGCACUUCAGGAUGUGAGAGGAGGAGUUCAGGGGCAGAGAGGGUUCUGAGAAGGCAAGGCACAAAUGAACAGAGAUCUGAAGGACAGUUGGUUUUAGGUGGUGAGAAGGGCGCUGAAUGUGUGAACCUGGGCUACAGGGUACAUGCUGAUAACAGGAAAGGGUUACUUAGCUUAGAGAAAAGGAAAAACAUCAUAAAAAUGUUUUGAUCAUCAGUCACUCACUGUAUAGUGACAAGCCUGUAGUAUCAAGACUGGGGGCAGAGUGGGGUAGGGGUGAGGUCAGAAGUUCAAGGUCAUCUUCAGCCUUAUACAGAUUCAAGGCCAACCUCAGGAGAGAAAGACAAUGUUUCAGAGCUGGAGAGAUAGCUGAUCGGUUAAGAGCACUGACUGCUCUCCAGGACCCACGUUCAAUUCCCAGCAUCCACAUGGCAGCUCACAACUGUCUAACUCCAGUUCCAGAGGAUCUGGCAACUCAUGCUCAUGCACAUGCAAGACAAAAUGCAAUGCACACAAAAAUAAAUAAAAUAAAUAGAGAAGCUGUCUCAAAGAAAAGUGUUAAAAAGAUGACUUCAGGGUGUGGGAGACAUGGCUCAGUGGUUAAGAGCACUACCUGCUCUUCCACAGGAUACAGGUUCAGUUCCUAGCACCUCCAUGGCGGCCUUCUGUAACUAUAGUCCCAGGCAAUCUGAUGCUUCACAUCCGGCAUACAAGCAGUAUAUAGAUAUACAUGCAGGUUGGUGGUGCUGGAAUCUUAACCCCAGCAUUUGGAAGGCAGAGGCAGGCUGAUCUCUGUGAGCUCCAGGGCAGCCUGGGGUACCUAAGGAAAACCGUGUUUCAAAACCACAAAACGAGAGCUGAGAAGACAACUGGGAAGGCUGAGAGCACUGGCUGCGCUUACGAAGGACCAGGGUCCCCUCCCCAGCAUCCACAUGGAAGCUCGUCCGGAUCGAACAACUUUUCCAGCCUAUUCAGACACCGGGCACACAUGACAAACACACAUACAGGCCAACACCCAUACACAUAAGAAAGAAAUGAAUCUAUUUUUUUUCAAAACAAAAUACCAAAAGAGAAACCCA
Non-coding RNA from Rattus norvegicus (Norway rat), 4819 nucleotides. The record is from RefSeq and is a predicted model, not a curated record. Lineage: Eukaryota; Metazoa; Chordata; Mammalia; Rodentia; Muridae.